RNAcentral lists this long non-coding RNA (1729 nucleotides) under Cricetulus griseus (Chinese hamster). RNAcentral's name for it is "lncRNA (ENSCGRG00015040552.1)". The record is from RNAcentral. Lineage: Eukaryota; Metazoa; Chordata; Mammalia; Rodentia; Cricetidae.
CCGUGAUUGUGCUCCCUCCCGGCGCAUGCGUCGUGGACCCGGGGCUCCGCGGCCGGUCGGGCUCUGCACUCGCCCCUCCCCUCGCGGCCGUCUUCCCCGGAGCGUCCGGGCGCGCAUGCGACUUUCCCCGUUAGGCAGCCCCGAGCCGCGCCGCGCCGCGCGGAGCUGCGCCACGGAAUCCCAGGCGCCCGAGGAAACUCCACUCCUGCGGGCCGGCGUGUGCUCGUUCUGCAGCCGCAGAGGGAAGCGGGGAUGCCCCGGGGUCCCCUCCCCCCCCCACGCAGGCCGGGAGGCGGGGCCUGGCGGAGGGUGCGGCCGCCCGCAGAGGUUUGGGAGGCUCUGGGCUCCCUGGGAUGCAGCGCUCUCUUCCUGUGGGAGCCACCGGCCCGACGAGGGCCUCGGUCUCUUGAAAAGCAAAGAGCUUAACUGACGCCAAGUUAAACUUCUCCAACCCGACUUGGAACAGGUCGGCUUCCUCUCCUGGAGGCAGGACACUUCGCAGUUACUACCAAGAAGGACUGCUUUCCAAUGGACUUGAAUCUGGAAGAAUAAAGCCUUUCCAUGUGUGACUAAUGAAAAAGAAGGCACCUCGAAGGGGGAAAAAAAAAAAAAAAAAGCAGAUUCAAAGGGGGAAGUGUAGCCUAGAGGCUUGAUGUCCGACUUUAGGGGCUAGAUUGAUUCCUCAGGAAGUUUCAGUUAAAGUAAUAAAUACACUCCUGAAUGUAUUUUCUUUAUUGCUUAAACCAAUGAGAGCUUUUUUGUCACAGACUACUUAGCGUCUUGAUCACUGGUAGUAAAAAAAAAAAAAAAAAAAGAAGUAGGUUAAUCAUGCUGAUGAAGUUCCUAGGUUGCAGCCAGACAAGGGAGCCUGAAUACUUUUCCUAGGUUGAAUGUUUCAGUUUUAGUCUAGAGGAAGUCCUUUUUUACAUUCAAUCUUCUCUAGUACAUACAUCUUCAAAAUGACCUUUGCCCCCUUUAAUGAUUUCAUUGUCCUUUUAGUUACCUAUGACUCCUCACAUUCUGUGUUUAAUUAUUUACCAAGACCUGAUGAAAAUCCCGUGAUUUUUCUGCUCAGUCCUCUGCCACGGUUUGAGUAUUUCCCACAGCUGAUUUCCCCGUGAAGUUCUUCAUCUGUAAAAUGAGGAUAACAGUUUCAGCUCAUAGGACAAUUAGAGGCAAUUGUGUAUUAACACUAUCUGCUAUGUAAAUUACAUGUCAAGUAUUGGCCACUUCAAUUUUUUGUAAUUAAAAUUUAAUUACAUCAUCUACCCCCUUCCCUUUCUUCCCUGCAGUCCUUCCCAUGAUCCACACCUUGCUCUCUCUCAAACUCAUGGCCUCUAUUUCUCUAAUUUGUGUUAUGUGUAUACAUUCCUAAAUAUAUAAAUACAGCCUACUUAGUUUGUAUAAUGUUACCCAUAUGGAUAUGAUUUCAGGGCUCUUGACACUUGAUAUUGGAUAACCAGUUUAGGGGCUCUUCUCUGGGAAGGCUGUUUUUCCCCAAUUUUAGCAUUCCUUAGUUGCCUGUAGUUUUUUGUCAAGGGUUGAGGCCCCAUGAGAUUUACCCCUUCUGUAUUAGCAUGUCUAUUGGUGUCUUGUUUAGGCAGUCAUAUUGUUGAGACUUCACAGGUGCAGUUUCUUUGACAUUUCUAGGAAACUGGCACAGCAAAUUUCCUGUUCUGUUUCUUAUCAUCUUUCUGCCUCCUCUUCCACUAGGAUUCCCGAAACUUAG